Lutra lutra (Eurasian river otter) is the source of this 885-nucleotide long non-coding RNA. RefSeq lists it as uncharacterized. The transcript is spliced from 5 exons. The record is from RefSeq and is a predicted model, not a curated record. Lineage: Eukaryota; Metazoa; Chordata; Mammalia; Carnivora; Mustelidae.
AGAUGCUAACGUAUCCUUACAUCCCUGGAACACAUCACACCUCAUCACCAGCUUUAACAGCCUGCACCUGGGACUCUGGAGGAUGCCACAAGGCUAUAGGAGAAAUGGGCACCAGAGUGAAAACAGGGAGACAGGAAGCCAGUCAAGAGACCGGUCCCAAGGCACUCUCUAGCUAUAAUUUAGUCCUCAGAGAGGUUCAUAUUGAUGAAUUCCACAGUAUGAAAGGCUCACUAUAGAUAUUAGAUCAAGUUCCAGGCAAGGAAUGCGAGUGGAAGAGAUAUAUGCAUGUUCCAGACCUUCUUAAAAGGGACACUGCUUGUUUGCCAUGGACUUCUCUUACACAGUCUCUCCUAACUUGAGAAUGAUGAAGAGCAGAGCAACAUUGGAAGCCUCAUUUUGGUAACAGGAGUGUCUCCCUAACAGCCUUGAGCUCUCAAUCUUGGAAUUAUUCCAUGGGAGAAAAGUAAAGUAGCUAUUGUAAUUAAGUCACUGUAUUUAUGCGUCUUUCAUUAUAGCAGCUUGAGCCAACUGUAGAGACUGUACCCUCAUAUACUACUUUCCAAAUCCCUGGAAAUAAUACAUUAUAAAAUGGCUACUUUACUGAUUUGUGCCUAAAUCUUCUAAUGCAAGAGAGAGUGAUAUGGUGGGUAAUGGAAUGUGUUACUGAACUAUUAAGUAAAUUACAUAUAUGCUUAGUCUUAAAAGAAGUAUGGAUGUCCUGUAUCACUGAUAAAAUCACUGGUCCUUUUUCUCACCAAUAAUAAAUAACUUUAUUUUUUUAUUUUUAUUUAUUCUUAUUUUUUUGUUGGUAACAGUUUCUCCAAGGAUCUAGGUGAGUGUGGCCUGUGCAGACAUGGAGAGAAAGGGGAUAGAUAAAAUGGGAAC